This 490-nucleotide ribosomal RNA is filed under the name Setophoma terrestris. RNAcentral describes it as "eukaryotic LSU rRNA". The stretch from base 156 to 309 matches the Rfam family "5.8S ribosomal RNA". The record is from RNAcentral. Lineage: Eukaryota; Fungi; Ascomycota; Dothideomycetes; Pleosporales; Phaeosphaeriaceae.
CAUUAUCAAAAGUCAAGUCGGGGGCUGUAAAGCUCUCGUCUACACCCAUGUCUUUUGCGUACUCUUGUUUCCUCGGUGGCGCAAGCUGCCGAUUGGACAAACCAAAACCUUUUUUGUAAUUGCAAUCAGCGUCUGAAAAUAAUCUAAUUAUUUACAACUUUCAACAACGGAUCUCUUGGUUCUGGCAUCGAUGAAGAACGCAGCGAAAUGCGAUAAGUAGUGUGAAUUGCAGAAUUCAGUGAAUCAUCGAAUCUUUGAACGCACAUUGCGCCCCUUGGUAUUCCAUGGGGCAUGCCUGUUCGAGCGUCAUUUGUACCCUCAAGCUUUGCUUGGUGUUGGGCGUCUUGUCGUAUUACGACUCGCCUUAAAUUCAUUGGCAGCCGGCACUUUGGCCUAGGAGCGCAGCACAUUUUGCGAUCGUAGCCCGUUGCACUGGCGUCCAUCAAGAACAUUUACCACGUUUGACCUCGGAUCAGGUAGGGAUACCCGC